Molecule: unclassified non-coding RNA, 366 nt
Filed under: uncultured fungus
Lineage: Eukaryota; Fungi
Description: partial contains small subunit ribosomal RNA, internal transcribed spacer 1, and 5.8S ribosomal RNA
Rfam family: Eukaryotic small subunit ribosomal RNA (bases 1-73)
Source: RNAcentral
GCAAACUUGGUCAUUUAGAGGAAGUAAAAGUCGUAACAAGGUUUCCGUAGGUGAACCUGCGGAAGGAUCAUUAAAAAAUUGCCCAAGGACAUUCGUGUCCAAGGCCCACACUGUGUGCACCGUUUAAAUCGUUCUUUGGCAGGGUCUUUGGGUUCAUUUUCUCUUUAGAGUUUGAGCCCAACUUCUCUUAGACUCUAUCCUUCUAGUCAAGGACAGUUGAACAUGGGAAGCCGUUACCCUGCCAAGUGACUCUUAAAACACGCAUUUGUCUGAAAUACCCUUUUUUUUUUGCGAUUUAGUAACGCAUAAUAAAACAUAACUUUCAACAACGGAUCUCUUGGCUCUCGCAUCGAUGAAGAACGCAGC